UACGUAGGGUGCGAGCGUUGUCCGGAAUUAUUGGGCGUAAAGAGCUCGUAGGCGGUGUGUCACGUCGGCCGUGAAAACCUGCAGCUUAACUGUGGGCGUGCGGUCGAUACGGGCAUCACUGGAGUUCGGCAGGGGAGACUGGAAUUCCUGGUGUAGCGGUGAAAUGCGUAGAUAUCUGGAGGAACAUCGGUGGCGAAGGCGGCAUCCUGGACCGGUAUUGACGCUGAGGCGCGAAAGCCAGGGGAGCAAACGGG
This 254-nucleotide ribosomal RNA is filed under the name uncultured bacterium. Its description in RNAcentral is "partial 16S ribosomal RNA". It matches the Rfam family "Bacterial small subunit ribosomal RNA", at positions 524 to 776 of the family's 1533-position model. The record is from RNAcentral.